This 75-nucleotide transfer RNA is filed under the name uncultured Clostridium sp. RNAcentral describes it as "tRNA-Met(cat)". It matches the Rfam family "tRNA". Rfam says of the family: Transfer RNA (tRNA) molecules are approximately 80 nucleotides in length. Their secondary structure includes four short double-helical elements and three loops (D, anti-codon, and T loops). Lineage: Bacteria; Bacillati; Bacillota; Clostridia; Eubacteriales; Clostridiaceae. The record is from RNAcentral.
GGACCAAUAGCUCAGUUGGUCAGAGCAAUCGGCUCAUAACCGGUCGGUCCGGAGUUCGAGUCUCCGAUGGUCCAC